This 245-nucleotide ribosomal RNA is filed under the name uncultured bacterium. RNAcentral's name for it is "partial 16S ribosomal RNA". It matches the Rfam family "Bacterial small subunit ribosomal RNA", at positions 524 to 768 of the family's 1533-position model. The record is from RNAcentral.
UACGGAGGUGGCGAGCGUUACUCGGAAUUAUUGGGUGUAAAGGGCAAGUAGGCGGCUUAGUAAGUGAGGGGUGAAAUCUUCCGACUUAAUCGGGAAAUUGCCUUUCAAACUGCUAGGCUUGAGAGUAGAAGGGGGAAAUGGAAUUAGCGGUGUAAGGGUGAAAUCUGUAGAUAUCGCUAAGAACACCGGUGGCGAAGGCGAUUUCCUGGUCUACUUCUGACGCUGAAUUGCGAAAGCUAGGGGAG